AUGGAAGUACCCCAAACAUUUGGUUCCAUCAGCCAGUAUCCCUCAGGACUGCACUCUGAGUGUGCAAGCCACUACUGGGCUGUCAGUUCAGGAUCACCACCAAGGAAAUUAAUCUGUGCUUCUUAAUAUGACCAUUGACUCUACAAGAUUGUGCAGACUUACCUCAAAUACAGGCACUGAAACAAAUACCCAUUUAAGAUCCUAGAGGACCACAACCCUUAACAUCUAUCAUUUCUGUGACAGGAAUUUUGGAGAGAAGGCUCAGAUAGCACGAAACAAGAGCAACAAGAGCAACAAGAAAUUGCUCACAUCUGUUCUGCAAGCAUCCUGUAAAGCACUAGAAGUUGUUGGUAGCAAGUGCCUUGCUGACUGCUGGCUGCAGGACUCUGAGCUCUGCCUCUGUGCAACCUGGCUGUUCUCAGAGUAGUUGCUUGGGUUUUUCAUCUGGGUUUUUUAAUUUUCUUGGGAUGGUUCUCUAAGACAAUUUCUUUUAGCUACUCUAAUCUCUAAAAUAGUCUGAAAAACAGUAGCCAAAGGCAGUGUAAAGAAGACAGCACAAGCACAGUGU
RNAcentral lists this long non-coding RNA (568 nucleotides) under Cyanistes caeruleus (blue tit). RNAcentral's name for it is "lncRNA (ENSCCEG00000013300.1)". Lineage: Eukaryota; Metazoa; Chordata; Aves; Passeriformes; Paridae. The record is from RNAcentral.